UCUUAGUCAUGCAAGUCGAACGAGAAAGCACCUUCGGGUGUGAGUAAAGUGGCGGACGGGUGAGUAACACGUGGGUAACCUGCCUUCGAGUGGGGAACAACCCUUCUAACGAGGGGCUAAUACCGCAUAAUGCAGCGGCUCCGCAUGGAGACAGUUGUUAAAGGGGCAGCUUCGGCUGUCUCGCUUGAAGAUGGACCCGCGGUCCAUUAGCUUGUUGGUGAGGUAACGGCUCACCAAGGCAACGAUGGAUAGCCGGCCUGAGAGGGUGUACGGCCACACUGGAACUGAGAAAGGUCCAGUCCCCUACGGGGGCCAGCAGUCUAGAAAUUUGCGCAAUGGGCGAAAGCCUGACGCAGCGACGCCACGUGGAGGAUGAAGCCCUUAGGGGUGUAAACUCCUGUCAGAAGGGAAGAAUGCAGGAAAUAACUUUUCCUGUUUGACUGUACCUUCAGAGGAAGCCCCGGCUAACUUCGUGCCAGCAGCCGCGGUAAUACGAAGGGGGCAAGCGUUGUUCGGAUUUACUGGGCGUAAAGGGCGUGCAGGCGGACCGAUAAGUCGUCUGUGAAAUCUGUCGGCUCAACCAACAACUUGCAGUCGAAACUAUCGGUCUUGAGUACAGGAGAGGAGAGCGGAAUCUCAGGUGUAGCGGUGAAAUGCGUAGAUAUCUGGGAGAACACCGGUGGCGAAGGCGGCUCUCUGGCCUGAUACUGACGCUGAGGCGCGAAAGCUAGGGGAGCGAACGGGAUUAGAUACCCCGGUAGUCCUAGCUGUAAACGAUGGGUACUAGGUGUUGGAGGUAUUGACCCCUCCAGUGCCGCAGCUAACGCAUUAAGUACCCC
Molecule: ribosomal RNA, 839 nt
Filed under: uncultured bacterium
Lineage: Bacteria
Description: bacterial SSU rRNA
Rfam family: Bacterial small subunit ribosomal RNA
Source: RNAcentral